GAUGAACGCUAGCUACAGGCUUAACACAUGCAAGUCGAGGGGCAUCAGGAAGAAAGCUUGCUUUCUUUGCUGGCGACCGGCGCACGGGUGAGUAACACGUAUCCAACCUGCCCUUUACUCGGGGAUAGCCUUUCGAAAGAAAGAUUAAUACCCGAUAGCAUAAUGAUUCCGCAUGGUUUCAUUAUUAAAGGAUUCCGGUAAAGGAUGGGGAUGCGUUCCAUUAGGUUGUUGGUGAGGUAACGGCUCACCAAGCCUUCGAUGGAUAGGGGUUCUGAGAGGAAGGUCCCCCACAUUGGAACUGAGACACGGUCCAAACUCCUACGGGAGGCAGCAGUGAGGAAUAUUGGUCAAUGGGCGGUAGCCUGAACCAGCCAAGUAGCGUGAAGGAUGAAGGCUCUAUGGGUCGUAAACUUCUUUUAUAUAAGAAUAAAGUGCAGUAUGUAUACUGUUUUGUAUGUAUUAUAUGAAUAAGGAUCGGCUAACUCCGUGCCAGCAGCCGCGGUAAUACGGAGGAUCCGAGCGUUAUCCGGAUUUAUUGGGUUUAAAGGGAGCGUAGGUGGACUGGUAAGUCAGUUGUGAAAGUUUGCGGCUCAACCGUAAAAUUGCAGUUGAUACUGUCAGUCUUGAGUACAGUAGAGGUGGGCGGAAUUCGUGGUGUAGCGGUGAAAUGCUUAGAUAUCACGAAGAACUCCGAUUGCGAAGGCAGCUCACUGGACUGCAACUGACACUGAUGCUCGAAAGUGUGGGUAUCAAACAGGAUUAGAUACCCUGGUAGUCCACACAGUAAACGAUGAAUACUCGCUGUUUGCGAUAUACAGUAAGCGGCCAAGCGAAAGCAUUAAGUAUUCCACCUGGGGAGUACGCCGGCAACGGUGAAACUCAAAGGAAUUGACGGGGGCCCGCACAAGCGGAGGAACAUGUGGUUUAAUUCGAUGAUACGCGAGGAACCUUACCCGGGCUUAAAUUGCAGUGGAAUGAUGUGGAAACAUGUCAGUGAGCAAUCACCGCUGUGAAGGUGCUGCAUGGUUGUCGUCAGCUCGUGCCGUGAGGUGUCGGCUUAAGUGCCAUAACGAGCGCAACCCUUAUCUUUAGUUACUAACAGGUCAUGCUGAGGACUCUAGAGAGACUGCCGUCGUAAGAUGUGAGGAAGGUGGGGAUGACGUCAAAUCAGCACGGCCCUUACGUCCGGGGCUACACACGUGUUACAAUGGGGGGUACAGAAGGCAGCUAGCGGGUGACCGUAUGCUAAUCCCAAAAGCCUCUCUCAGUUCGGAUCGAAGUCUGCAACCCGACUUCGUGAAGCUGGAUUCGCUAGUAAUCGCGCAUCAGCCACGGCGCGGUGAAUACGUUCCCGGGCCUUGUACACACCGCCCGUCAAGCCAUGGGAGCCGGGGGUACCUGAAGUACGUAACCGCAAGGAUCGUCCUAGGGUAAAACUGGUGACUGGGGCUAAA
This 1454-nucleotide ribosomal RNA is filed under the name uncultured organism. Its description in RNAcentral is "SSU rRNA". It matches the Rfam family "Bacterial small subunit ribosomal RNA". The record is from RNAcentral.